This 21-nucleotide non-coding RNA is filed under the name Caenorhabditis elegans. Lineage: Eukaryota; Metazoa; Nematoda; Chromadorea; Rhabditida; Rhabditidae. The record is from RNAcentral.
UAAUCUUUCAUUUUAUGUUUU